CGGGUGAGUAACGCGUGAGGAACCUGCCUCAAAGAGGGGGACAACAGUUGGAAACGACUGCUAAUACCGCAUAAGCCCACAGCUCGGCAUCGAACAGAGGGAAAAGGAGUGAUCCGCUUUGAGAUGGCCUCGCGUCCGAUUAGCUAGUUGGUGAGGUAAUGGCCCACCAAGGCGACGAUCGGUAGCCGGACUGAGAGGUUGAACGGCCACAUUGGGACUGAGACACGGCCCAG
Molecule: ribosomal RNA, 233 nt
Filed under: uncultured bacterium
Lineage: Bacteria
Description: partial 16S ribosomal RNA
Rfam family: Bacterial small subunit ribosomal RNA
Source: RNAcentral